AUCUGUCACACCCGGUUUUAGAAGGCAAACCGAAUGCGAACCAUGUACGUGUCAGGAUCAGCAAUUCACGUACACAGCAGUUACAUAAUUGGACAUCAUCACACAGUGCUCAAAUAAUAACAUAAAAGGGGAAUAAUAGUCGAUUACAUCAUAAUGUCGGAGACAUCCACAUAGUCUUUAAUAAUAAUCAAAGUGCGAAAACGAAACGUAGAUACACGCGGCCUUCACAGGCAGCCGACUGGGGGUUGCCGCUAACCCACGCCUAGAACUCGUCGUAAUCUUGGAACUCCUGGAAGUCUCCUUCCACGGCUUCAUCUUCUUCUGAGCAGUGGUUGCAAUGCGGACAACCUGGGGAAGGGGGGGGGGGGGUUGGUGUGUAGAGCAAGGGUGAGUACACAUCAACAUACUCAGCAAGUGUCCUGUUUGGCUGUAGUGGACUAGCUCUAUAUGGGGAUAAGUCAAGCAGUUGCUUUUAGUUGGUCAGAUUAUUAUUACUAGUAAAGAGAGCCAGAUUUUAGUAUUAACCCAAGUUUUUAACCCAAAAGUACCCUUUCCAAACGGAAAGAAUACCACUUACCAUCACCAGAGUCAAUACCAAAACCACCAUUCUCAUCGUCACUUGUAAUCCGAACAUCUCUGAUCAAGUAUCACUAAUCAAUGGAGCUCCCUUGGUCGCUCAUAACCGCGAGCACGACUGAUAUAUCAGUUUUCAAACACUCUGCAGAAGUUGCGCACUUUACCCACAAGCCGUGAUUCCCUUUCUGCCCGGAGAUCAUGACUCUCCAUUGAUCACUACCAAGGUGACCCAGCAGGGUAUCACUACGUAGCCUUUACAAAGAUUCCCCGGGGCUGUAGCCGCCCGUUAGGUUUCCUAAAUGUACCGCACUACUCCCCAAGGGGCAAACCAACCUUGGUAGAGCGAGCCGCAUACACCGAGCCCCAUUAACGGCACGACGGUGAAGUAAACUACAUCCUGGUUCCUCUAAUUAUUCAGCUAAGGGCGUCCCAUUUCACCCUCAUGGUUGCACUGUUCUCCCGGGCGGUCAUCCAACGAACAGGUCCUUACGGAGAGGCACUCGAGAAACUGCUCGAGCCCCCUUAAAUUCCAUAAGUAUAUCAUCAUAAAUAAGAAGGGAAACAAUGUAUCAUAGAUAAAUCUCAUCAUAUUCAUUAAUUAAUGUUAAGCACUAGCAUAAAGCUAAACCAUAAUAAUCCAACCCAAAUAGGUAAGCAAGGACAUGAAUAACAAAAGCUAGUCAAUCUUUAGGUAUAACUGUGUAAAUGCGGGAAGUGAAUUAUAGAAUUGUAUAGGACAUAGUUGGGUCAAGGGACACUUGCCUCCACCAACCAGCUACUGCUCAGGGGCUUCUCCUGCGAGUUCUUCGGACUCCUCAACCAGACCGUUUUCUAUGCGAGCGCAAACAUACAUCCAUCCAUUUGAAUUAGGAAAUAAACAGUACACCAUACUAGAGAGCAGAUAAACUGAAUAUGCAUAAGAUAUGACAUACGGUUUUGCAUUCGCAACUGCUAGAAAAGGAAGAAGGAAGGUCUUGCAGUGGUCAAAGCUAUAAUCGAAGCGUAUUACGGGUAGAUGUAUAAUUAAUCAUUGCUUCAUCUAGUUCUAUCUAGUUAUACUAACAAGUAUUAAUAACAUGUGCUACUAGAGUUAUAACUAUUUCCAAUUGGUUGACAUUAAACAAAGUCAAUGAUUAACUACAUGAAAUAACUAACGUAAUCAAUUUCUGAGUUGAGUUUCCAUUUCAUUAAUAUAAAUAACAUGAUCAAUGCGCAUAAAAUACACGGGGGGUAGACAUGCACGUCCAGGGGUAGACGAGCACGUCACCCACGACAGGACGCUACGCGUCGUGCCGUGUGACAGCCCUCCCAAGUUAUCAGGCCCACAUGCACCAAUCCUUGCCUUAAUGGCCUCAGAUGGAUGUGCACGUGUACCGGGUAACUUAACAAGGCUAUCGAGUUCGCCAACUGGAACUCAUCAUCCCAAGGAUCUCCCACAUAACAGGUAUAUUACAGUAAUCACAUUUGAUACACACACAUUGGAGAUAGAGCGGAAGACUUUCACAAAGUACACUUUACAUUCCAGAACUCAAGUUUUACAUGGUAGAAAGCGAUGUAUUUAUUACAAGUCCUGAUAGUACUCGAAGGGCAUAACUUAACUACAAUAAUUGGAAGGGUGAAGCCUUUCCAUAAGAGAUAUAUAUAAAAACCUUCUAAGCUUCAAGUCCUCCACAUGAAGUAACUAACCCAAAGAUAGGGGAAUAAAACUUCUCCUACAAAAACAACAAGGGAUAAAACCCUGAGUAUGCAAUUACUCAGCAAGACUUACCCGACUAAAGAAAAGACUCUCAAGGAUAUGCUGGUUUGUUGGGAAUCAAGGUAAGGCUUGUCAAAUUUCAAAGACUCAUUUUGCAGAAGAGCUUACUAGUAGUGAAUCUUUAUGCCAAACUUUUACUUCACAAGUUAAUUAUUUUUCCUGAAUCUAGAUUUGCCUAAUCUAGAGCAUUCACUUGUCCUAUACUAGCUUCCUUUCAACCAAACCACAAUCAUGUUUCACUUAUUAAACUACGAUGCAGGGCAGUGAUCCAGUCUUCAUAUCCGAGAAGUACGAUGAUCCGAACCGAUUAAUACCCAGCUGGGGAUCUCCAACCACACGACAUAUGUAGCACUUAACCCUUGCAUAUGUCAACCAUUCCCAUGGAUCCUCCACUACAUGAACAGGUCCGCGCUACCCGGGAGCACAUUACCCUACCAUCCAGCCUCUUGCCAGGAGGAUAACUGCUACUCCCACCAUCUCCCACGCCCAGUGCGCGGUUGUCUUUUCACGUAUGGAAUAGCCGGGUUCAGGCUUACCCAUGGUGAGGUAUGUGGCCAGUUAAAGGGUCCUAGAUCAGCAGGCCAACAAUCGGUACGGUCCUUAAUCGACUCAGACGAAGACACUACAUCGAGACUCCUUUCUCGUGCAAGUCAACUGCCCGAUCUCAGCUUUAUUAUUUUCAACCCAAAGUUUGGUACCUGGCAGAGGUACAUCUUUUCCGACGUUGAACCCAUCCCGGCCGUGAUGGAUCCACCAUCAAGUUUUAUUUUUGAAAACUUCCCACCCACUGAAGCAUCACUUUUGUUUUAAAACAAAACAUUUUUGUUUGCUAAAGCAAGGCUAAGCAUCAUAAAAUUCUUUUCAAAACGGGUAUCAAGGAAGGGUAAUCAAUUUCAAGGAAGGAAAUGCAUCAACGGUUUAGCACACAACUCCUAUCACCUAAUGCAUCAAUCAAGUGAGAAAGAUUUUAAAAUAGCAAGGAGGUGACAAAUGCACCAGGGCUUGCCUUACUACAGGAGGAAAUAUGAUAUCUUCUAUUACGAUAAGCAGUUAGAUGGAAUCCACCACUGGAUCAGUAGAACUGGAACAGGCUCCUUCACAAAUCACUUCUUCUUGGUACUCUACAUGAAAUGCCAUGAUUAUGAAUGCCUGUGUAUAUGCUACUAGCAAGGAAAGUAUUACGAAGCACUACAAAAUUACAAUUACAAGCUAUCACCACAAGCCAUAACUACCAGGGAGCUAUUUACUGAACUUCAAUACUCUACACAAACGCAGAACGAUGGCGCUGGCCACCCGAAUUUCUUGACUAAAAACCACAUCAAAUUACAAUCCUAGAAGUUCCAAUCAGAUUUUCUCUCAUCUCCCUAUGCUGGCUUGAUACACUUUCUUACUAGGAGUUGCUCUUCUAUGAUCACUCUCCAACUUUACUUUAAAGGAUACUAGCUAAAACUCAACAGGCUUCAGGUUAGAGAGCUCCAAAGUUGGAACUCCACGAAACUACACAAUUCAGCUAACUGAACUAAAUUCAGCACCCUCUACCUAACAGAGCAACUUGGAAUAAUCUUUUCUCUCAAUUCAAAGCAAGGAUAGGGAGAUCCUUCUUAAAAGAAAUUGCUCCCCAAUAUUAGAUCUUCAAGUUUACUGCAAUGAUCAUCCACCAAAACUUCAAGAAUUGAGACUUAGAAGGGUUCAAAACUGAGAGGAAUUCACAGUUUCUAAAAAUUCAGCAAACUGAAUUACGUUUUAGAUUCUGAAACUGAACUCUACACCAAACUGAACCCCCACCUGUAACUCCAUUACUCCUCACAAUUCCAAACAAUAAUAGGCCAACCUUGACUAAUAAAAUUUGUUUACCACACAUAUCUGUACAAGUUUGCUGCAGCAGCCUUAGGUCAAAGAAUCAUGGAUCAAGAGUUAUAGUGCUCCAAAAAUGGGUUGAGAACACAUAAAAUUCUGUUUCAGCUGACUGAAACUAUAUACCUGUCAGUGAAAGUUUUGAGACGUUUUAUCCAAUUUUUUUACACAGCAGCAAUACCAAUGCUUCACUGACCUUUGAAGACCACGGAACGAAGACCACACGGGCAUGCAACUCACUGGAACGCUUUGGCCACAGCGAGGUGGGAGGUUUCGGUGGGUGUGGUCACCAGACAAUAGGGUUGGCAGGCGCAGCACAAAGGCAGAACAACCUAGUGACUGAGAAGAGGAGCUAACACUGGUUUGAACACAGGAACUACCUCGAUCUCGUGAGGAACACUGGCUAGAACUCGAGGGCAAGGAAAAGCUCCACUAGACCAAGCUCUGCAGUACACAGGAUAAGAGGACAGAGGCAUCGAGCUCAGCCAUAUCUUGGUGAAGAAGGGCCCCAAGGGUGCCAGCACCUCAUGGGAGAGCACACGUGGCCAACAAGCACAAAUACCAGGCCAGCUCACAAACU
This 4766-nucleotide long non-coding RNA is filed under the name Zea mays. Its description in RNAcentral is "long non-coding RNA (ZMAY_LNC001920)". The record is from RNAcentral. Lineage: Eukaryota; Viridiplantae; Streptophyta; Magnoliopsida; Poales; Poaceae.